This 920-nucleotide ribosomal RNA is filed under the name uncultured bacterium. Its description in RNAcentral is "bacterial SSU rRNA". It matches the Rfam family "Bacterial small subunit ribosomal RNA", at positions 33 to 944 of the family's 1533-position model. The record is from RNAcentral.
ACGCUAGCUACAGGCUUAACACAUGCAAGUCGAGGGGAAACGGCAUUAAGUGCUUGCACUUUUUGGACGUCGACCGGCGCACGGGUGAGUAACGCGUAUCCAACCUUCCCAUGACUAAGGGAUAACCUGCCGAAAGGCAGACUAAUACCUUAUGGUCUUCACUGACGGCGUCAGAUGUGAAGUAAAGAUUUAUCGGUUAUGGAUGGGGAUGCGUCUGAUUAGUUAGUUGGCGGGGUAACGGCCCACCAAGGCAACGAUCAGUAGGGGUUCUGAGAGGAAGGUCCCCCACAUUGGAACUGAGACACGGUCCAAACUCCUACGGGAGGCAGCAGUGAGGAAUAUUGGUCAAUGGGCGAGAGCCUGAACCAGCCAAGUAGCGUGCAGGAUGACGGCCCUAUGGGUUGUAAACUGCUUUUGUAUGGGGAUAAAGUCAAUCACGUGUGAUUGUUUGCAGGUACCAUACGAAUAAGGACCGGCUAAUUCCGUGCCAGCAGCCGCGGUAAUACGGAAGGUCCGGGCGUUAUCCGGAUUUAUUGGGUUUAAAGGGAGCGUAGGCUGGAGAUUAAGUGUGUUGUGAAAUGUAGACGCUCAACGUCUGACUUGCAGCGCAUACUGGUUUCCUUGAGUACGCACAACGUUGGCGGAAUUCGUCGUGUAGCGGUGAAAUGCUUAGAUAUGACGAAGAACUCCGAUUGCGAAGGCAGCUGACGGGAGCGCAACUGACGCUGAAGCUCGAAGGUGCGGGUAUCGAACAGGAUUAGAUACCCUGGUAGUCCGCACAGUAAACGAUGGAUGCCCGCUGUUGGUACUUGGUAUCAGCGGCUAAGCGAAAGCAUUAAGCAUCCCACCUGGGGAGUACGCCGGCAACGGUGAAACUCAAAGGAAUUGACGGGGGCCCGCACAAGCGGAGGAACAUGUGG